GGAGCAGCGGUGGGGAGGAAAGGGACGUUUUAGAUGUGAGAGGAGGCGGUAACGUAGAAGUCAUCUCUGCGAGCGUGAAAGGAAGGAGUGCGCGGCUGAGCCGGAUGCGUUCGGAUUUUGCUUUUACCAGGAGAAAAGUCUGAUCCACGGUUCUGCUGACCGCCUGCGACAGUGUAAAGAGGCGCGGAGCCCCUGGUUUCAGCACUGCGUGGCCUGCGGCUUACUUUUGGGAUACUUAUCAAGGGUCUACUGUGUGCCAGGCACUAUAUCUGUGUGCAUAGAAAACCCCUGGAGCUCAUGCUCCAAUAUAUAUGUACAGUGAUCAUCUCUGCUUGCUGAGAUAACAGGAGUGUCAACCUGAUAUUUUUGCUGCUAUCCACUUGUAAAUACACUCAGAAAAAGAGAAUUUGGACCCAGUUUUUGACGACAGGUAGUUUCUAAACAUGAUGCAUUUCAAAAGUGGACUCGAAUUAACUGAGUUGCAAAACAUGACGGUACCCGAAGAUGAUAACAUUAGCAAUGAUUCCAAUGAUUUCACUGAAGUAGAGAAUGGUCAGAUAAACAGCAAGUUUAUUUCUGAUCGUGAAAGUAGAAGAAGUCUCACGAACAGCCACUUGGAAAAAAAGAAAUGUGAUGACUAUAUUCCAGGAACGACCUCCUUGGGCAUGUCUGUUUUUAACCUAAGCAACGCCAUUAUGGGCAGUGGGAUUUUAGGACUCGCCUUUGCCCUGGCAAACACUGGAAUCCUACUUUUUCUGGUACUUUUGACUUCAGUAACACUGCUGUCUAUAUAUUCAAUCAACCUGCUGUUGAUCUGUUCAAAGGAAACAGGCUGCAUGGUUUAUGAAAAGCUGGGAGAACAGGUCUUUGGCACCACAGGGAAACUCGUCAUCUUUGGAGCCACCUCCCUACAGAACACUGGAGCAAUGCUGAGCUACCUCUUCAUAGUAAAAAAUGAGCUACCUUCUGCCAUAAAGUUUCUAAUGGGAAAGGAAGAGGAAUUUUCAGCCUGGUACGUGGAUGGCCGCCUUCUGGUGGUGGUAGUUACCUUUGGCAUAAUUCUCCCUCUGUGUCUCUUGAAGAACUUAGGUUAUCUUGGCUAUACUAGUGGAUUUUCCUUGAGCUGUAUGGUUUUUUUCCUAAUUGUGGUUAUCUACAAGAAAUUUCAAAUUCCCUGUUUUGUUCCAGAGCUAAAUUCAACAAGUCCUAAUUCAACAAAUGCGGACAUGUGUACGCCAAAAUAUGUUACCUUCAAUUCAAAGACCGUGUAUGCUUUACCAACAAUUGCAUUCGCUUUCGUCUGCCACCCGUCGGUCCUGCCAAUUUACAGUGAGCUUAAAGAUCGAUCACAGAAAAAGAUGCAGAUGGUUUCAAAUAUCUCCUUUUUCGCCAUGUUUGUUAUGUAUUUCUUGACUGCCAUUUUUGGCUACUUGACAUUCUAUGAAAGAGUGCAGCCCGACCUCCUCCACAAGUAUCAGAGUAAGGACGACCUCCUUAUCCUGACGGUACGGCUGGCAGUCAUCGUGGCCGUCAUCCUCACCGUGCCCGUGUUAUUUUUCACGGUUCGAUCUUCCUUAUUUGAACUGGCUAAGAAAACAAAGUUUAAUUUAUGUCGUCAUGUCUUGGUGACCUUCAUACUCCUGGUUAUUAUCAACUUGUUGGUGAUCUUCAUACCCUCCAUGAAGGAUAUUUUUGGAGUCGUUGGCGUUACAUCUGCCAAUAUGCUUAUUUUCAUUCUUCCUUCAUCUCUUUAUUUAAAAAUCACAAGUCAAGAUGGAGAUAAGGGAACUCAACGAAUUUGGGCUGCCCUUUUCUUGGGUCUGGGGGUGUUGUUUUCCCUGGUAAGCAUUCCCUUGGUCAUCUACGACUGGGCCUACUCAUCAAAUGGCCACUGAGACCAGCUGAGAAAAAGAAGCAGUCAAGUUACCGUGCAUCAGCAACCCUUCAUCACUUCCUCUGCAAGUUUACAGAAGCAAACAGGAAUUUACAAGAUACACAAUGAAAUAAUACUUUGGUAGCAAAACAAGAGACCUGUUUCUUUCAUGGUUCAUGCCCCUCCAGGAUUGGGGAUCAAUUUUAAGGAUUGUGGAUUUUUUUGGUUCCAAAUUUCAUGCAAAAUCAUAUUUUCCAGUACUUUUCACAGUUGAUUGUUUUUCACUCUACUAUUUUUUGUGAUUUCAUCGUCUCUUAGAACUUUGAAGACAUGAUCACCCAUCGUGUUUAUUUAUUGUACAUCCAGAUUCUGAAAUAAUUUUCCUACUGAUGUUCAGCUUAUAAUAUCUGUACCUUUUUAGCAGAGAAAAGAAUCUUGAAUUGUAUAUAUUUAUUUUGCUUUACAGAAAAAAAUGGUUUCGUAAAUAAUUUGCCUAUUUUGGUUAAUAUAGCACAUAGGGAUAAUCAGAUGAGAGUCACAGGGCACAUACCCUUGUUGGAUCAGAGAAUGCCCAAUAUUUGAGGCAGCUCUGAUCACCUGGCAGGCGAGCUUCAGCAGCUCGUGGCCUUCCUGGCAUUCCAUCCACUCUGUGCAGAGACCUUCUCUGGCGAGUGUUCUCGGCUCAGAAAGGGGUGGGAAUGAUUCUUACCUUGGUAAAUAUACUGAACUACACAUCUGGGUUAUCUAGCAAAUGAAGUUUUGUUUCCCUCUUUGUGUCAAAGUUACUCUACAUAAUCUGAGUCAGCUUUUGUUGGGAAAGACCCACAACACCUUUAUAACAAAUUGAGAAGCAAGAGUCCUACGAAAAGAUUGUCCAGAAUGCAUGAGGAAAUAUUUUUCAGAUGCAGAUAGCCUUCAGCCCUACAUCUGUAUUGUUGAAGGGGGAAAAACAUUUUCUUAAAUUAUAAACCCAGCAGCUUCUACUCAUGUCCAUGAGCUUUUUGCACAGAAAAUCAUGUGUUUCUAACCAAGGGUGAUCUAGGGAAAGUAAGUCCUGUUUUAUAUUAGGUACUUUAGGGGGGGUCUUUAAAAGAUUUGUUUUAUAUCUAUGAAAGUGAAAGUGUUAGUUGCAAAGAGGUGAACACAACUGAGCGACUAACACUUUGUAUCUAUAAAUUUAGGUUAUUGCAAAUACAAGAUUUUUGUACAUUAAAUAAGCCUCAUUCCUAUUUCUUCUCCACUAGCCAUCCAUCCAGUCUUGAAAAAAGAGAAAGAGCCUUCAGAGGUGAUUUUGAGGACAGCGUGUGAUGAAAGCACGGUGUACCCUUCUUCCCCAAGAUGGGGACUUUGGUGUCAGUGCUGUCCCUCUCCUCAUCCCCGGUCAAGGGUGGGCCGUCACUGCCCACCUGAUGUGACCCACAUCGGGACAGAGUCGCUGACACUCUUACCCCAGCCCCUCUCCUAAAAGCAAGUGAAGGAAAUUCCGGAGAGAUUGAAAAAGAAGAGAAGUUCAGGGCACGGUAGCUUGAAAAGGCAUUGGGGACAGGAUAGGAACCCAGCACCACAUCCCGCCUACGCUGGACCAUCACCUGUGCUUGGAUUGUCUGUAUCACACAAUGAGAAGCAUGUGUACCCUCUGACCUAGUCUCUUGAAACAGGGCUUGUGUUAUAUCUACAUCCUGGUUGAACUCAACAAACACGUCAGUUCACUGAACAGAUAUCUUAUCCAGAGAUAAGUAGCCUCUAACCACAGACUCUUGGCAGAGUUUCGAGGCACUUAACUCUGGGCUCUGUUCCUCCCGCACUGAGAUCCCCGGAGGCCUCCACACUUACCGGGAGUAACACGGAACUGUCUCCUCCCCUUGACAGACUAACAUCCCAUACAGAAAGCAAGCAUCAAGAUCAUUCCUGAUCCUCUUGGGGGAAAAGGAAAGUUUAUUUUCUGCCUGUCUUAGUAGUAUCAUCAUAGCUUCUAAUGUCAUGCUCCAGAAUUAUAUCCACAGACAUCAGAGUUCAGGUAUUUAGAAAUGAGUACCUACCUAUGUAUGAAUUCCUAACCCAGUGAAACCCACAGCCAUUUCUGUCCUUCUCAGCAGUCUUUCAUAGAUAAGCAGAAGAGAAACUCAACCAAACAAGAUGCCUGGCCCUUGGAGCUUGGCUGGGGCACCCAAUCAUGUAAUAGCUAGCUAGUGGAUGACCCUCCAUUAAAAAAAUACAAAUUUUAUUUGCAAGCUUUAUUAGGCUACUUCCUGUUUUCUUCAUUAACUUAUAAAAAUUCACUUUCUGCCUAUACAGUCAGUUUAGAAGAUUAUCAUUAGGUCUUGGGAUGUGUAGUGAUAUUUUUGGAUCUCUGGAUUUUAUGUGUCAGAACAGGGGAUUUUUUUUUUAUUAUUUAAAAUAUGCUUAUUUAGAGGAGGCUUGGGAUGUGUAGUGAUAUUUUUGGGUCUCUGGAUUUUAUGCAUCAGAACGGGAUUUUUUUUUUUAUUAUUUAAAAUAUGCUUAUUUACAGGAGGCACUUGUUGACGUCUGCACUACUACAGGUUUUUAAAAUCUUCUUUGUAUGUUUAUUUAAGUUUAUUGUUGACUGAAUAUAAUAGACCCUAGUGUAAUUUGUCAGAUGUCAGUGAUUAAUUUCAUCAUCUGUGUGGGAUUAGCUGUAAAGUGUGCUGUUCUUAUUAUUCUUGUUCAGAGUAGUGAACCCAUAGCCAAAAAUACAUGUACCACAGAUGUUAGGUAGAAUUUAAAUCACACAGUCAAGUGCUGUAGAGGUUUUUCUGCUAUGUGAGUAGACUAAGGAGUUUUAUACCUUAGGCCUUUGGGAGCAGCACAUUUUCCUUGGGUAGAUAGGACCUCAGCACCAGUGAACAGCGCUAGGUUCACACUUUGGGGUAUGACCUGUUCUCUAGUUGUAAUAACAUAUUAUACUGUAAAUCCCUAAUUUCCUUCAUGUUACUUAUUGGAAGUGAGGACAGCAGCAUAUGUACAGGGAAGAAAUGCAGUCUUGUUAAUCAUAGGCAGUCCCCAGUUUAUAAGCUAGUGCAGAACCCCAACUUAUAGGCAGAGUGUAGUGUAGAAUUGUCCGUUGGUUGUUUGCAACCUGGAAUGUAUUUUCCUUCCGAAACCAAGUUACACAUGAUGGUUAGGCCCCCAGGCCACCUAGAAAAGAUGAUCUAAACUCAUUGUUUAGCUGAAACAGGAUACUGUAUUAGCAAGAUUGCUAAGGAAUCUAAGCAAUGAAUCUGAUUUUGCUCCUAGCAGAUGUUUGUUCAGAGUUGCUGAGAAUCCGUCCCUCGUGCUGUUAGUGGAAUCUGGAUCAACCGUUCCAACCUCACACUGCCUGUUGGGUGGUGGCACCAGAGUAAGCCACCAAUUAGAAGUGCCCAGAGUGGCCUACAGCUGGGUCCCCAGCAAAGGAAGGGGACCAGGUCCAGGGCAACCAGAGACCUCAUAGGAAGAGGAGGGUUAAGGAGGAUGAGGGGUCCUCUGGUGGGCCGUACAUCACCAGGGACAUUCUCCGCUGCUACCCUUCUUUUCUCUGGAGGCUCAGGCCUGGCCUGCCUGCUUCUGUUUGUAGGACCUUUUGCUCCUGGAGUUUAUCUCCUUCACUCCCAGUACCAUAAAUGAUGUCACUGCGUAACUUCUCUUGCAUGCCAGUAGCUGAAGCCAGCACACAGCACUUUUAAUGGAUUUAGUGCUAGGAAACCAUAGUUUAACUGCCCAGUAGUCAAAGAGGGGUAAAAACCUCUCUACCCACUUUUCCUCUCAUAUUUGCAGAUCCUGUUGAGAAAGACAUACAUGGGUGAUGGCCAUGGGGCUUGGGGUGGACUAAUGGCUGUGAUAAGGUGUCAUAGUAUUUCAGAGGACACCUCAGACAGUCACCCCAGACUUCGCUUUUUUCUAGAGUUGGAUUCAAGCCUCCAAGUCAGUGUUCCUCUAAGUGGGGAUCCCCAGAUCAGCAGCAUCAGCAUCACCUGGGAACUCAAUGGGAUGCACAUACUCAGGCCUCAGUCCAGACCAAAUAAGAUCAGAAACUAUGAGGGUGGAGGUCCAGCAAACUGUGCCCAGUGAUCUUGGCACAGGUCAAGUUAGAGACCCACAUGGAGCAAAUUCGUCUCUCCUUUUUCUCCCCAUUAGUCCUAUCUGUCAUUCUCAGAUGGUGAUUCCUGGGACUUGAGGGAAAAGAAGUGGGAGCCAGGACUUAGGGAGGGGAGGAAUGCAGCCCCCUUCCCACUGGAAAUGCUGGUACAGGUGCAUCAUUGCAAAUAAGGCUGCCUGCACAUGGCCUGAGACACAGUAAGGUUUCGGUUUUGGCAGCUGUGAAGAAAUGAAAAUGAGGUGUUUUAGGUGUUUUUUUUUUUUCUUUUUUUCUUUUUUGAAAGCAAUUAAAAGAUAUACCCUUUGUUAGAGGAAAUACUGAAUUUAGGUCAGAAGUUUCUCUAGAAUGUUUGGGUUCAUCAUGUGAUGAUCAACCCUGUCCUCCCUUUAAAGGGAGUUCUCUGCUGAAAGGGGCUACAGACUGCUUUGACAAGGUUAGCGCUCCACUUGUGUUUCAGCGGGUCAGAGUGCUGGACAGCACAUCUUGUUGGGUCGGGGGUGGGGAGGAGAUUGAUGAAAUGAUCAGGUAUUUGAUUUUAUGCCUUUAGUGCAAAAGCCAUCAGUUUCCCUCUGUUUUUCAAUGUAAGUUGGCUUGAGGCUUAGGAUGUAAACCUUAAGAAUAUGAUUCCUCCAUUCCAGUUCAUGGUAAACUACCCACUUUCAAAAUAAAGAUUGAGAUUAUAUCGUUUAAGGAUGUUAAUGUUUUCCUUAGGGAUGGCAAAUCUAAGAAUCUGUUAGCAACAGAACACCAUUCCUCUAAAAUACAGUGAAUUAUUUAUAAUGAUCCAAGGUUUUCAGAUGAAAAAUUGGGGAUGGGGUGGCUGACAACUGAAAAAUACCACUAAAUCUUAAAGGGAAAGUUCUUGAAAAGCAUGUAAAAUUCACAGGGCUCAGACCUCUUUCUUUAGAGUUUUCUGUAAGGAAGAACUGUGAAACUGGGCCCAUGUGCAUACAGGCUUGAAUUUGUGUUUUUAAAAGGAAGAAUCUAUGCAGUUGAGGCUUAUUGUAGGAAAUACUUCAUUUGUAUGUAAAGACAUUGUAAAUAAAUAGGAGGCUGUAUAUUUUUGAAGUUGUUGAUCCACAUUGAAAUAGAAGUCACUAGUAUCUGCAUAUCAAGAAUAAAUGUCUUCAUUAAUAUUAGUGGUUUUGUUUGGCAAUUAGAAAAAUUUACAUUCUCUCCCAGGUAACAUAGUUCUCUUAAUGUAAACUUGGAACCUACAAAUCUUACUUGUUUAGAGAGAGAAAUGUCUGAGAAAUGUCACGUUGAUUUCUUAUACUGGUAUUAAGAUUAAUUAUUUCAAAGCUAGUUCUCUGAGCUACAAAUAAGAAGAAACAUUUUAGACCCAAAUUAUUGCUGUAUAGAAAUAGAAUACCCAAAAUAAUGAGUUGUUUCUUCGCAACACUGUUCCAGCGUUAACACUGAUACUACUACACAGUAUUUAUGAAAACAGAAGUUGGGGAAGAGGAAUUUUUUUUUUUUUUCCAAAAUUGAAUUUCUGUUUCCCAAACUAUGGUCUCUUUGAAAGGGAAAGACCUGAAUCUUAGACCUGAAUAUUAACUGUGAGCACAAAUAUGAAAGAAAGAAAGAAAGAAAAAGGAACUAUUAUUUUAUCAAACUUUUGACAGUCUUGCAUGUUUCCCUUUUCAGUGUCCACGCCAACAUAGGAGGUCUUAAGUAAUUUUUGCCCCCAAAACACUUGAAUCUUGAUCACUGGUAUGUAAUCUGCUCUCUAGAGUUCAGUGUAUUCUAGACUUCAUCUACCUAUAGCACACCACUGAUUUACUAAUGUAAAACCUUGUCAAUGAUUUCAGAUGGAUGAUUUAAGUGAGUCACCCGUCACAAAACUUUGUCAUUCAUGGUUGAUUAAACACAUAGUUUUUUUCCCCCCACCCCAGGAUGUGGUGUAAAUAAAGACAUGUAAGAAGUUCUAUUGUAUAAUUGCUCUGUUAACAUAGUUUUUAAACAUUAAAAUGUGGAAUAAAGCA
RNA transcript from Cervus elaphus (red deer), 7954 nucleotides. It is a transcript of the gene named solute carrier family 38 member 1, with no coding region annotated. The transcript has 18 exons. The record is from RefSeq and is a predicted model, not a curated record. Lineage: Eukaryota; Metazoa; Chordata; Mammalia; Artiodactyla; Cervidae.